UCUACGGUGACGUAGAAUCUGAAUGAAGCCUAAGGCAAAAUCCCGAACUGACGAACAGAAACUGUAUAUGAGGCUGUUUGAAGCGGACGAGUUUGCCAAACAAAACGAAGUCCAAUACUGCCCGAACUCCAAGCAGUAAAUACAGCAGUAACAUGGGACGAAGGUUGCCGUU
RNAcentral lists this non-coding RNA (172 nucleotides) under Tepidibacillus fermentans. Lineage: Bacteria; Bacillati; Bacillota; Bacilli; Caryophanales; Bacillaceae. The record is from RNAcentral.